GCUGUUGCCAGAAGAGGUUGUCUGUGAUGCUAUCUACUGAGGUUAAAGACUUUUUGAAGUAAAGAGGAGCAUCUCAUUUGAAACUGAUGUCUAUCAUGGAUAUUUAACUGAAGUUCUGUGAGUAUCCCAACUUAACCAUGAAGAUGAACUGCAAACUGUAAGUCAUUAAUUUCUCAUUACUCUUGGGCACAUUGAUGUAUUUUUGCUUCCUGGUGAGUUAACCCGUUGGCUAAAGGUUGAUCUGAGUAGUAAGGAUGUUUUAUUGGUUCAUUGGUUUCUUAGGUGUUUGGUUUAUGUUGGUUUUAAUGGUUUUUUUAAAAUGGUUACGAGAUCCAAGUUAUUGUUGUAAGCUGGAGUAAUUGGUUGGGUUCUGAUGUCUUAAGUCUUCUUUCCAGCUACUUUCCUGAGCUCUGCAUCUUCAACACACGAGUGUUGCUUUACUGAUGAGGGUGUGGUCUGAGUGAGCGGAGGUGCAUACUGGGAUACAGAGCUGUCUGAAUUCUACAGGUCUGUAGGCACGCCCCCUCAGGGGAAACCAAGUGUUUCAGAAACCGUCGUGACGUCAGUUACAUGGACUGGAAUUUUCUUUAAGAUGGAGACGGGAUUCAGAAGGAGAAACGCCAGGGGGAGAUGAGGGGGCUCCUCAUCUCAACAGCUGAAACACAACUUCAGUCUGACAGAGAGAACCAUGGAACACAUUCAACAGUCCCCUCCAUGCAUCGUGAGUCCUCAUGAAAAGUUUAAUUUCCAAGAAGGUCUUAUUUGGGGCCAUCCCCAUAUGGAUCCUGCUCCUCAAGAGCCAACCCCCCUCCACUGAGUGGUCUUCUGAAGAGAUGACUUCCUUCCUGUCCUCAGGCUGAUUAAAGCUGCACUGUUUGCAUCUGUGAAGGCCCCUCAUUCAGGAAACCACUGGACUACAAAGAAAUGACUUCAGAAACGUUGAAUCAACCUGGGACACAUUUUGGAGACGCCAAGCAUAAUCUAUCACCAAUGUGGGACGCCACUGAAAAAUGUUGCACACAAUUAACUUCUCUGGAGACAUUGGUUGUUCUGUUCUGGGUGCCCUGGCAGGAGAGCUGGGGUUGGAUGAUGGAACGUUAUUUGGCAUGAGGUUUUUUACCCUGCAUGAUUGUUUGGCCUUUUAUGGAUCAGUGUUGUGUGUGUGUUUGGGUUUGACAUGAGAUGGAUUUUUUCAUCGCUAGGGUUCUACUGUGUGUGUGGGUGUGUGUGUCUCCCACUCACACCUGGUAUGGGGUUCUACGUGCCUGUCCUGGGUUCUGUGUGUGUGUGUGUGUGUGUGUGUGUGUGUCCGGCUUGCUUUGACAGUGAUAAUGUUCAUACGGGGGUCUGUGUGAUUGGCUUGGGAUAUUGGAGUGGGCAAAUAAAUCAUACCUGAUGGACGGCCACACGUUUACUUAAGGGCCUCCAGUAGACAUGAAGAGCCCUGAGCGAUGCUCCGGAGCGAGAUCCAACACACUGGGCAGGAAGGAGAGUAUCCAAAUCAAGGGUAAAGGAUGCAAGCGGCGUGUUCAGAUCAGUGACUUCAAACUAGGACUACACCAAUCAGGAUCAAUGGAGGAUGGACACCAAAAGGAAUUCCACAAGGAGAGUGUGACGUUGGAAAGGGACCUAAAUGGAUAUUCAAGAUGACCUUCAGACCUGUAAUGAGACGGCUCUUCCUACCAGCCUGGAUUGAUGGAGAGCCCUGUGGAUCUUGUCUUGCUCUCAGUUGCACGUCUUCUCAGGCUGAACUCUAAUUGUCUCGGACAGGACUAGCUGAACAAUUGGUUCCCUUAAAUCAGAACCAAUCCGGGAACUCCAUCUAGUGCGCUCUUCGAGCUGAAGUUGUGCUCUUCAGCUGAGGAGGUAAGGAAACCUUCACUGGGGCUUCAAGAUGUAAAGAGGAGAAUGUUUCAAAGUGUUCCAUGGUACUCUGAUGAAGACCGUUGGUGUGUUCCACUGGCUGAGAGGAAGAACCCACACAUCUUCCUCUUGGCCUUUCUCCUCUCAGAAUCCUGGCGCCAUCUUGAAGGAUAUUCCAGCUCAUGUAACUGAUGUCACGACAGAUUCACAAACACUUGGUUUCUCCUGAGGGGCGUUUCUAUAGAACUGAAGACUUCAGACGGCACUGUAUCCCAGCAUGCAUCUCUGCUCACUCAGACCACACCCCCAUGAGUAGGAUGCAACACUCUUGGGAUGGAGAUGUAGUGUUUUAUAAGUAACGAGGGAGCAGACUAAGGGGAUUAGAACGUAAUGGAAUGUCAAGUCUAAAUCUUUAAACCAUGAAGAUGGUUGGAAAAGUCAGGAAUUUGGCUUAUUUUUAAUAUGGGCAGUCCUUUCACUCGGAUGCUCACUUGAAAUGUACAUGCGUUGGCUGGCUGGCAUGAUUUGCUGUCGGCUCUCUGUGAGCUCAACGUUUAGAUUUUCUCUGGUUUGUACCCUGAAUAAUCUAGAUAAUUGUAAAAUGUAGACACGGUUUUGCAUUGAAUGAUUCCAGGAUUUUAGGUUUAAAGUUGUUGUGCAUGGUAGUUUGGUUCUUCGUAUGGUUUUGAGUGAUUAUAACUUGUACACACUGGGUGCAUAAUAAUGUAAUGUUACACUGAAUAGUAUUAAUGACCAACAGCAACAAACAGAUCCCCUCAAGGUAAGUCUGUUGGCUGUAUUUUAAUGAAGACCAUCGCUGGACUUCAGGAUCUUCCUCCGUUCAGCUCAAGGUGAGGCACUGGUUACGUUUUUUCUUUGGUUGGUUCCGGCUGGAAUGUUCGGAUUCCAGUCGGACGGUUUGUGCUUCCCGCCGUGGAAGGUUCUGAGUGCGGUCACUUGAUUUAGUCCCAAUGGUUAGCAUAGAAAGUUGUAGUCUUGACAACCAUAAGAACACUGACACGAAUUUCGUACAAUAUGUUAAUUUCCGAUGGUUGCGCCGUACUUUUAACCACGUUGACGGGACUCUCGCUGCGUACAAAACGGCGUUCUACUUGCGGCCCAAUUUUUGGUGAAGGCUGAAAAUCAUUUCAAGGUGGAAGACAAGUUGAGUAAAUUUGAUUUAAUAUUGAUACUGCUUAGUGUUCAUUGUUACUUCACUGUUACUUGCUGAUAUAAACCUCCUGCUGUAGCUCAAAGGUGAGGCUGAGAGGCUUGGGACCGGAGGCUUGUGGUGCCAGGAUGGACCGGAGACUGAGGCUGGAGACCAGGGGCCUGCAGCACCGGACCAGAGGACCAGGAAUCCAUGGCUGAAGGAGCUGAUGGAGGCCCUGCCUGGUGGAGGAGCCAUGCUGAAAGCCCUGCCUGGUGGAGGAGCUGACGGAGGCCCUGCCUGGUGGAGGAUGUCUGUCGUGGGACCAGGACUCUUUCUGAGGAGAGCAGAUGGAGGAGCUGAGACGCUGGAGGACAACUAGGAAUAAACCAACAAGGAUUCCUCAACGUGUUUCUGAAGCGGAGGCGAGCUGAUGGGGGAGCCGUGAAUCUGGAGGAUGACGUCACUCUACCAACAAAGAUU
This is a long non-coding RNA of Gadus chalcogrammus (walleye pollock), 3496 nucleotides long. RefSeq lists it as uncharacterized. The record is from RefSeq and is a predicted model, not a curated record. The transcript is spliced from 6 exons. NCBI's taxonomy places the organism in Eukaryota, Metazoa, Chordata, Actinopteri, Gadiformes, Gadidae.